CAUUUUCCUGAGACCGCCUAAAAUUAAACUAUUCUCUUCUGUUUCCUGCACGGAGCUCUAUUGCGCCAUCCUCAGCUGACUUGUAUUAGGUACUAGAGUGAGAUGUUAAUGCAAUAAAGAUGUCAGGGUCCAUGUACAGGACACCACUGAGGCUGGGGGGCGGGCUACAAGAUGCGAGGGCACAGAUGAGGGUGUGACUUGUCCAACAACAGAAGCAGGCUUUGGGGAGCAGAAAUGGCCUGGAGGGAUAGGCAGGCCUUGGGAAGAAGAGCAGAGCAGCAUGGUGGAAUGGCUCCCAGCCAAUGGAGAGAGGCCAGGCUCUUGACAGACACGUGUGAUCUCAGGGUAAGGGGGAGGGGCGACACCUGAGGCAGGGCUCUCCUAACUGGUCACAAAUACCAACUGCAUUCCGGGAGGGCAAGGAGCCAGCACAGGGCUCUGGCACAGUCGUGAAGAGAUCAAGUCAAGGUUGGAGGGCGAGCCAGACUGAGAGGGAGGCUGAAGGGGAUGUGGAAAGGACCUCCCCUCUGAAGACAAGGAGAGCAGCUCCCACGGGAGUGUGAAGUGAGUCUACUAGAAAGGGACAGAAGUGUCCCACAGUCGGAGAGAGGACGAACCAGCCCACAAGGUCAGGAAGAGAAGCCAACAAGGAUCUCAGAGACAGACAAGCUAGCUCCCACCACAUCCUUUCCCCAACACAACAUGGAGAUGGAAAAUUUAAUAAAACUUCAUGAAUUAAGUAA
Long non-coding RNA from Peromyscus leucopus (white-footed mouse), 743 nucleotides. RefSeq lists it as uncharacterized. The transcript is spliced from 2 exons. Lineage: Eukaryota; Metazoa; Chordata; Mammalia; Rodentia; Cricetidae. The record is from RefSeq and is a predicted model, not a curated record.